Molecule: long non-coding RNA, 247 nt
Filed under: Homo sapiens (human)
Lineage: Eukaryota; Metazoa; Chordata; Mammalia; Primates; Hominidae
Description: HSALNT0289747
Source: RNAcentral
CCAGAGCCCGUCACUGUCAGGAAUGCCAGGGGUCACACUUUCAUUACAUACCUGUGUACCUACAACCUAACACCCACGUACACACGUGUGUACCUACAACCUAACACCCACGCACACACGUGUGUACCUACAACCUAACACCCACGUACACACGUACCUACAACGUAACACCCACAUACACACGUGUGUACCUACAACCUAACACCCACGUACACACGUGUGUACCUACAACCUAACACCCACGUAC